Molecule: long non-coding RNA, 895 nt
Organism: Eurytemora carolleeae
Lineage: Eukaryota; Metazoa; Arthropoda; Copepoda; Calanoida; Temoridae
Exons: 3
Source: RefSeq, a predicted model, not a curated record
CUUAAAAAAAAAAAAGUUAAAUAAUCGAAUUUAAAUUUUAGAGCAAUCAAAACCCACAAGUUGACCAUGGGAGUUCUUGACCGUGAGAGACAGUUCAACAUGUGUCAAAUUCUGGUCCUGAAGGAUGACAAUGCUUUUAUUAAAACUGCAUUUUUGAAUGAGUCAUACUUUACUCUCGACGGAUCUGUUAAUAUCGCUCACACAGUUCGCUACGCUAAAUCCAUGGCGCAUAGAGGAAGAGGUUGAGCGGAUAUAACAAGUGGUUUAGUUGCCGAAAAGGAAAAGUUUCCUUCUAAGUUGAUGGUUUUUGCUGUAACAUUUCAAGGACGGAAUCUUGGUGUUCUUAUUAAGCAGGAUGGGACUCUGAAUUCUAAAUCCUACAUCAGACAUGUUAAAGUUAACUGUAUACCUCAGAUGAAGGCAGUGAAUGGAGGGUCUCUGGAUGGAGCCACCUGGCAACAGGAUGGAGCAUCCAUCCAUUGUAAUCCAAAUUUUCUUAACUUUUUGGAUCAAGAGUUUGAAGGCAGAGUUUUGGAGAAAAGGGCAGAAUGUGAUGGGAGGCGAGGCCACUGUUGGGCUCUAAGAUCCCAAGACCUCACAGUUUUCGACUUCGCUUUAUGGCCAAUCCUUAAAAGAAGAGUUUAUUUGAGCCCAAGACCCAGAACCUUGGAUGAGUUAGAGGCAAGAAUUCAGAACGAGAUUGAUGAAAUCUAUAGAGAUCCUAAUUUGAUCAAAAAGUGCCAUAUCUCGGUUAGAAAACGUGCACAGCUCUAUGUUCAAAAUAAUGGAGGACACUUUGAAAUGUUCCGAUAAGUUCUGAACCUCCAUAAUUUUGAACAAAGAGAAGUUGAUCUCUAUUGUGAAAUAGUGGUUUUUUUAAAAGAAAGUAUGUAAG